Molecule: ribosomal RNA, 245 nt
Filed under: uncultured bacterium
Lineage: Bacteria
Description: partial 16S ribosomal RNA
Rfam family: Bacterial small subunit ribosomal RNA
Source: RNAcentral
UACAGAGGCUACAAGCGUUAGGCGGAAUCACUGGGCUUAAAGCGUGUGUAGGCGGGCCGUUAAGUGCCUUGUGAAAUCCCCCGGCUUAACCGGGGAACGGCUGGGCAUACUGGCGGUCUUGAGCCACCUAGGGGCUACUGGAACUAACGGUGGAGCGGUGAAAUGCGUAGAUAUCGUUAGGAACGCCUAUGGUGAAAACAGGUAGCUAGGGGUGUGCUGACGCUGAGACACGAAAGCCAGGGGAG